GUCCUUCUAGUAUUAAUUAGUACAAGUGACUUCCAAUCACUAAAUCUCAACUGAGCCUUGAGGAAGGAUA
Molecule: transfer RNA, 70 nt
Filed under: Plestiodon liui
Lineage: Eukaryota; Metazoa; Chordata; Lepidosauria; Squamata; Scincidae
Description: tRNA-Gly
Source: RNAcentral